Molecule: long non-coding RNA, 786 nt
Filed under: Cricetulus griseus (Chinese hamster)
Lineage: Eukaryota; Metazoa; Chordata; Mammalia; Rodentia; Cricetidae
Description: lncRNA (ENSCGRG00015042689.1)
Source: RNAcentral
GAAGCUAGUCUUCAGAAAUCAAACAAUCCAAUUAAAAAGUGGGGUAUAGAACUAAAUAGACAAUUCUCCAUAGAGGAAUCUAAAAUGGCUGAAAGACACAUAAGAAAGUGUUCAAUAUCCUUAGCCAUCAGGGAAAUGCAAAUCAAAACAACUGUGAGAUACCAUCUUACUCCUGUCAGAAUGGCCAAAAUCAAAAACACCAAUGACAGUUUAUGCUGAAGAGGAUGUGGAGAAAGGGGAACACUUCUACACUGCUGCUUCUGCAAGGAUCAUGGAGAUGUCAGACACCUGUAUUUUGGAGCAAUGCUUCAACUCAUCCUACUGAGGUCUCCUGGUUGCUGAAUUUCUUAGUCACCACCUUGCCUAGCUCCAGGCUUAGGCGGUCAGCAGUUUUCUGGGAUAAGUCCUGUUGGGAUAUCCUGCUGAAGAUUUUGAUGUUAGGCAUCUUGGGCAACUACACAAAUGCGCCCUUCGCUCAGUGGUCAUCGCUGGUGCAGAGAUUGGAUCCGAAGUAAGCUGGUAGCCUAUACACCUACAGCACCGCUGCUGCUCAGCCAUCUUACAUUCUUGGAGCACACAGCUCUAAAUCACACACUGAGCACCAAGCGAGGAGGCGGGAUCACAGAUCACAAAGGUAUCUGGUCCAGCUUAAGCAGCUGAGAAUGGAUGCCCGGAUGGCCCCACUUCUGCUUUUCAUACUGACUGAUGAGACUGAAGAUGACCACCAGAGCAUGCCACAGAACUGCCAAGGAAUGUACCCUAGAUGCAAGAUGAACAAGGGCAUCU